Molecule: long non-coding RNA, 4863 nt
Organism: Cygnus olor (mute swan)
Lineage: Eukaryota; Metazoa; Chordata; Aves; Anseriformes; Anatidae
Exons: 3
Source: RefSeq, a predicted model, not a curated record
AGUGAAACAAUGGUUAGGUCGAUUAAAACAGAAAGGAUUUUGGUCAGAUGCCUUCUGGAAGGCUUGCAAAAGACUUCACUGAGGCAGCCCUUGAAGUACAGCCACAGAUCCUGAAGAGAGAAAGUAUUUGAAAGCAUCAAGAUUUGGGGAGAACUAAAAUCAUCCAAGAACUGGAAUUUUCAUCAUCUCAGGCACCCUACUUAGCAAGUCAUUUUGCAAAGGUCUUUUCAUCUCAGAAAUGGUCAUGUCUGCUCCCUGGUGAUAAUGGACAGCACUUCCCACAGUUUUUGUAACAUGGAGGAUGGUCUAAGUCACUGCAGAUUAUAUCACUGCUAGAUAAUCUGGUGCAAAAAUCCCUUGGUGAUAUCUGCAGCUCUCCAUGCCACACAGUAGGCCACAGGAGAUCAACACCUCCUGAUCCAAACAAGAAUCUGUGAAAACUUGAGAGGUGUUUUCAGUGACUGCCAUGUAGGUAACUCCCUCUCCAUGAGACUGCUCCUCCUGCCCGUCCUGAGAAGAGAGAAUUGCCCAUGAAGUCAUCUGUAUCCCUCUGGCAGACACCUUAAGCCCCAUGUCCAAUGUCCCUCAGCAUGACAAGCCCUAGAAGUCCCUGGGGGCUGUGCCCACAUCCCUGCUGUGUGUCCCCACGGGAUAGGUCUGGGCUGAAGCAGCAAUGUGGGCAAAAACACAGCACCCAACCUUCAGGGAGCAGUUGUCUAAAAGACACUUGGGGAGCUUCUGCGUCCGUGGGGUUCAUAGCUUGUUUUAUUUAAAUUUUGUUUUAGUAGAGAUACAAAUGGCUAUGCAUAUGGAAAAGCUCUCCUGUUAGCAGAAUAUUUUAGAUUCCACGUUUGAUCUUUAUUUUAAUCAUGGAUAUCAAAAAUACAGACUGAAUGUUAAAGAUGUUCUAACAGACAGAAAGAAGGAUGAGUGAGAGCUUAGCAAAGUAAUACAGGUCUGGAAAAUAAGAUUCAAUGACCUUUUAAUCACUGGCUUUCUGGGUAUGUAAAGGAAGAUAAUUUAUUUUCCCCUUGCUUCAUUUUCUUUCGGUACAGUGGGGAUAAUACAACUUACUUUAAACCAGCCUUGCGGGAAGAAAUAUAAAAUAUUGGCAGUUUAUUGCAGGUUUUGAUCAAAGGAUCACACUAGCUAUUUACUUUGGGCAAGUAAAUUAUAUGUGUAGAAGCAGAAUUUCAAUUUAAAAUAGGUCAUGAAAUGAUGAUGUGGUAAGGCACUCCUCUAUGACUCUGACCAGAGAGUACCAGAGGACCUGUGGUACUCUAUGAGACAUCUGUACCAUGAGCUAAAAAAACAAUUGGACAUUAGAGAGCCUUUGACAACCUUCAGAGGAAAAGACGAGUUAUCACCUUUAAAUCUGAAAUUAUAGAUAAUUACAUUCUCCUCCCUCAGUCCCCCUGUAGUUCCAAUUAGAGUUGCUAUUUCUCACUUCCUCUCCCAAAGCGUGGCACGGUGCUGCUAUGCAUUAUUGAGCAGCUGCCUCAUUUGACCCCAGAGGUGACUGUUUUUUGGAGCUGGAAGAAACGAGCCAUACAGAUUCCUUGACUACAUCACAGAGAUAUUGUGACUGGCUUAAUUAGAUAAUGCUCGAGAAGUGUUGUGAGAUACUUGGAUUAAAAGCAUUAUAUAAGGCCAAAUUAAUUAUGAGUAUUAAUACAAUCUUGAUCUAAAGAGUAAUUUGAAUAAAGGAUAAAAUAAUAAUGAGAUCUUUGUGAGUCACAUACAAGAGUGCUUUGCCUCUCCAUAUAAAAUAUCUCCCACAUCAUUUAAAAUGUUUCUGUGGAGCAGAGUAGGGCAGUGCCGCUCAGAAGUGACAGAAAUAUGUGCUGCCGAAUGUGAGUCAUAGCUGAACUCCAACAUUCGCUCCUUUGUUUGCAUUUUAGGCAUAAGACAUCCUGUUCCCUACUACAGAAUUGCCUGCAGCUACCUUGAUAGAAGGGAAAAUUAAGAACCUGACAGGCAAAGGGGGGUUAUUGGGUUUUGUUGUGAGGUGUGGGGGAUUAUCUUCACUCCCUGUGCAGAUCUGUGGUAACAUGGCACAGCCAUUCUUGGCCUGGGGUGAAACUCUGACAUUUUCGAAUUCAAGGAAAUCUUUCCAUUGACCUCAGCAGAACCAAGUUUUCAACCACUGAUGUGUUUUAUUGUCAUGUUCUUUCAUGGAAGGAAAUGUGGAAAGGCUGGUAAUUAUGUGAAUUUAUGUAGCCAUGUAGACAAUUUCCCUACAAAAAAUGGAAAGUGGAAAAAUCAGACUGAACUGAUCUGAGUGGUCUCCAAAUCUCUCUUGAUAGCUGGGUGGCCAGUACAGCUUUCCACUGAAUCUUUUUGCUUGGUAAGGUUUAUACAUUUUGAUUGCACCCAGAAAGUUUGGUAUCAGAUUUAUUUUAAUGAAAUCUGAAUGUAUGGAGAUUGGAUUUCUAGCUCUAAAGUUUUUAUAUUUCCUAGGGUAGAUUCUUUUGAUUAAAUAUACAUAUCUACAUUAUAUUUAAGACAUCUGCUUUAGACUGAACUGAGUUUCUUCUAGAUCUGCACUGACUCUAACAGGAGUCUGCAGUAACUAACUACAUUUAGUCACGUGGAUUUUAUAGUUUUAUACUAAGUAAGUAUUUUAGGGUUUUAAUGAAAUAGGGCUGAAAUACUGAAUUAUUUAAUGUUACUAAGCUAGUUAGCACAGAAAUAUGAGCAAAGAAUUGUAUUUUAACUUUAAAAGCAGUGUAUCUCUGCAGAUUUCUUCCUUUGUUUACUAUCUAACCGAAUAUUGGAAUCGAAUAACUAUUGUCUUUUCAGGCAUUGGACUAAUACAUCUAAUGAAUAGUCUUCACACAAACUUCACUUAUAAUACCAGAUUUUCACUUGCAGUCUUCCUUGUCAUGUAAAACUGGAGUUGACUGACUACAGCAGAGCAUAGAAAUGACAUUCUGAACAUUUAGUUCUAGUCCUUUUAUUUUUGUUUACUUCUCUGCUUCAUUAUAAUGAGAUAAACAUUUCUGUGUGCAGAGGAUUAUAAUUACUCAUGUCCAUGGAGCAGCUCACUAGAGAGUAUAAUUAUUGCUCACAUUUUGGCUCAAGGCAAGAAUUAGACUAGCUAGCCUGACACGGUCGUGACUCUUACAUUUUAAUUUGUUCACCUCCUGGUAGCACCCAACAGAUCACCUAUGCCUCUCCUAAUUUUUGAAUACAGAGAUGAAACUCCUACCUCUUUUCCUUUUUCUGUGAGGAUGCUCUUCGUUUCUCAGAAUGAAGUUCACCUUACGGAUAAAUAAAAAUGCAGAGCUGUCUGAAUGGUCACCUGGCGCAGAGAUGGGGGUGGCACACAGGGCAUUUGGCCAUGCACAUGGCACAGCCAAUGUCACAGAAAUGUCCAAAACCACAGAGACAUGGCCGACAGUGCUAGGUGCACAGGGAAUUUUUUGAAUUCAGCAAGGACUUAGGGCAAGCUAACAACCUACUGGGGCUGAGAUAUAUUCAGGUUGGAGAUGACGUAUUGCUCAUGAGCCACAUGUAGAUUGAGAAUCAGUUUGAGGUAGCUGCUGUGGCUGCUGAGAACUCCUUGAAGACAGUGGGCAUGGCCAGAGUCACCACCUAGCACAGGCAGCUGCUCCUUUACUAUUAUAUGGUGCAUUACAUGCCUGUGCAUGACUGACACUUCUGGUUUCUUCUAUUUUGUCUUUGGUACAUGUUGUCAUUAAUGCUUCAGUCCGACAAAAGUCUUCAGGGUUUAACAUAGUGUAUCUGGUAAGGCAUUACAGUUUGUGCUACCCCUUGGCCUAAACUAAACAAGUUACGCUUUAUCAAGCAAUAAGAACAGGCAAUGCCUGUUCUUUGUCCAUUAGUGGGGAAUCCUGAGCAUUUAAACCACUGAAAAACACCAGGCACUCAGACUUUGCCAGGGUUGGAUGUCUCUGAGUUUGUGGGAAGAUUUUUCUCCAGAGAAGGGAGCCCUGACCAUCUCCUCAGAUCUUUAUUGUGGGAUAAUAAUUUGGGAACUACAGCCCUAGCUGUAAUUCUAGUGUCAGCCACAAUUUCUCCAUGAAACCUUGGUAAGGUAGAUGAGUGCAUGUAGAAAUGGGCUUUCUACUCUGCUUGCUGUGAUGGAGAGAACAGAGCAGCCACAUUUUCUUCUAUACCCUUGGUUGAGAUUUUUCCUUUCAGUGUCACCAUUUACAGAUGUCUGCCCUGACUCCAUGAAAAAAAAAAAAAACAAAAAAACAAACACACAUCCACCUUGAAGGCAGGCUAAGGAACUUAAGGAAUUUCUUACUUCCAUUCUUUUUUCCUGUGUGUGGUUUAUAUUUUAUUGCAACACUUUUAGUAUUAGUUGCCACAUAUGGCCAUUAGGAGCUUUUCUGAAUAUGACAUCUCACUUUUUUGCUAAAGUGAAACAGGAUUAUAGUUUUUAAAUUCAACCUAGGUUCAGAACUCAUGAGAAUUCCACACAAAUGCAAUUUUAAUGACUUAAAUGUACCACUUAUCUCAUGCCUAAAUGUAGCCUCAAACGAGUCAUUUUAAAACAAUAAUAAUUUUUCAGAUAAUUGUCUCAUUACAGAAAUGCUGGAAGUGGUAAGAGGAGAGUGAGUGAGCAAGUUGCAAAUAUUCCAUAUUCUGUUUCAAUAACUCCUUGUAGCAAAUAUUUACAAAAAGUGUAAAUUAAGAAGUUUAUUCUGCAUACUAUAAAUGCAUUUUACCUGUUUCUUUUAUAAGACAUCUCACUUUAGAAUUUCAGAUGGUUUUACAAAAUUGUUUCAAAAAUGAUGAUUCUGUAGUGUUUGCAUACACUUGAUAUAUAUCUUUGCAAUUAUUUGUUCUUGUGCAUCCUUCUACUUACAGAAUAAAGACUGUUUCAAAUUU